Long non-coding RNA from Cervus elaphus (red deer), 676 nucleotides. RefSeq lists it as uncharacterized. NCBI's taxonomy places the organism in Eukaryota, Metazoa, Chordata, Mammalia, Artiodactyla, Cervidae. The record is from RefSeq and is a predicted model, not a curated record. The transcript has 3 exons.
GGCGCUAUUCGCACAUAAACCCAAAUGUUUCCACUCACAACUUCGAAGCCAGGUCUGACACCCGAAUCUGGGUCCCAGAAUCCCACGGUGCCUGCACCAAUAUCACCCCCUCUGCUGGACGGCGGCGCACUGUCGAGAUCUGAGAGGUCUGUCGCCUGCAGCCGGGGAACCGCGUCCCCAGUCGCCUUCCUCAAACCACUUCUCUCUUUCCCCUCCAAAUAUUCAAGGCGUUCGGCCUAUUUAAACCUCCACCUGGUACCCUGGAGCUGAUGUUUGUUUCCUGAAUGUUAGAACCGAAAGAGAAGCGGAGUUGGGAUUUAUGUUGCGAAAUAUUCAACAUAAAGCCAAAGGACGAAAAGGAAAAGAAGACCUCUAGGAUUUCUUCUCUAAGGUCACCCAUGUGGGAACUGAGUAGAAGAAACGAAGUUAAUCAUUAAAAGUAUUCAGGAGAGAAAACAAAUGCUUCCCUGACCGGGAAUCGAACCCGGGCCGCGGCGGUGAGAGCGCCGAAUCCUAACCACUAGACCACCAGGGACGAUAGCAAGUCUUCGCGGAUACGAAUAUAUGAGGCUAAGUCAGUGUGUGUCUCUGCUUACUCAUUCUGUGACGUGUGUUCUUUCAGCUAGCUAGAUUUUGAGAUUCGUGACUACUGGGCUCUCACCCCGCCGAAACUACU